RNAcentral lists this transfer RNA (77 nucleotides) under Escherichia phage vB_EcoM_SophiaRose. RNAcentral's name for it is "tRNA-Arg". It matches the Rfam family "tRNA". From Rfam's summary of the family: Transfer RNA (tRNA) molecules are approximately 80 nucleotides in length. The record is from RNAcentral. Lineage: Duplodnaviria; Heunggongvirae; Uroviricota; Caudoviricetes. RNAcentral also lists the same sequence under 1 other name.
UGCCCUGUUAGCUUAGUGGAUAAAGCAGCGGCCUUCUAAGCCGUUGACACUGGUUCGAGUCCAGUACGGGGUGCCAA